RNAcentral lists this ribosomal RNA (506 nucleotides) under uncultured bacterium. RNAcentral's name for it is "partial 16S ribosomal RNA". It matches the Rfam family "Bacterial small subunit ribosomal RNA", at positions 29 to 523 of the family's 1533-position model. The record is from RNAcentral.
AGUGAACGCUGGCGGUAGGCCUAACACAUGCAAGUCGAACGGCAGCACAGGAGAGCUUGCUCUCUGGGUGGCGAGUGGCGGACGGGUGAGGAAUGCAUCGGAAUCUACUUUUUCGUGGGGGAUAACGUAGGGAAACUUACGCUAAUACCGCAUACGACCUACGGGUGAAAGCAGGGGAUCUUCGGACCUUGCGCGAUUGCAUGAGCCGAUGUCGGAUUAGCGAGUUGGCGGGGUAAAGGCCCACCAAGGCGACGAUCCGUAGAUGGUCUGGUAGGAGUACCGGCCCCACUGGAACUGGGACACGGUCCAGCCUCCUACGGGAGGCAAAAUUGGGGAAUAUUGGACAAUGGGCGCAAGCCUGAUCCAUCCAUACCGCGUGGGUGAAGAAGGCCUUCGGGUUGUAAAGCCCUUUUGUUGGGAAAGAAAUCCAGCUGGUUAAUACCCGGUUGGGAUGACGGUACCCAAAGAAUAAGCACCGGCUAACUUCGUGCCAGCCGCCGCAGUAA